UUAAGUACUCACUAUUUCGGAAUAACUAAAUAUAUACCUAACACAUAAUAUAUUAUAUUAUUUAAUAAAUAUAAAUUAUGGACAGCUUCUCAAAAUGAUAUAGGUACAUUCGAUAAAUCUCAGUAACGCGUGCGUUCAUCAUCGGACAUCCGGUCGAGCUGUUAUCGGUUGUAUAUUGAAACUAUUGUGAAGGUCGUACAAAAUAUAUUACAAAAAUCAUCACAAUAAUAGCCAUGUAACAGCCGCCUAGUAGAAAUGUUUCACGUCUUACAAUAAUACAUGAGCCACAUUAAUCUGUGAUUUACCGAGUCCAUUGGAAAAAGGACUAAAUAAAUCCUGCAUGAGCGAAAAAUCAAAAUUAAAUGCAUAAAUUGUCACAUUUAAAUUUAAUUGUUUUCACUUGGUAGUUACUAUUUCAAUCAUCACGUGGUGUCUUUUUAAUAAGCCGUGACAUUGACGUGUACACAUUUAACACAGUAGACACAUACCUCAACUGUACUUAAAGGUUGUACGAGAUCGACUGAAAGUCAUCGUACUAUGCGUUUUUCGUAAGUCGUAACUCGGCAUAGACGGAAAUCUCACGUCCAAUUCAAAUAACAAUAACCAUAUAUAUCUAUACACUCGAUACAUUACUAG
Molecule: long non-coding RNA, 636 nt
Organism: Aphis gossypii (cotton aphid)
Lineage: Eukaryota; Metazoa; Arthropoda; Insecta; Hemiptera; Aphididae
Exons: 4
Source: RefSeq, a predicted model, not a curated record